CACACAGUAUGAUGCCAGAUCUGUCUUUGAAGAAACAGCUAUUUACACUGAUAGACAAAUGAAUCGCACAUAAAAUCAGAAUGGUAAAUCAUGGAUAAAUCAACAGUUGCCUGAGUAAAUUAUCCUUUCAACAGAGGCUUUGCUCAAGUUGAAUUGUCUCCUUUGAGUGCAGAUUUGAUUCUAUGCAAAUGGAUCAUCCAUAUUUAAAUGGUUAGAAUAAACACAAAGACUAUUUACAGCAAUAUGUUUCAGUGGGGCGAUGCUGAUUAAUUUUGUUUCUGCGGGGGAAAAUCCUGCCCUAUUACUGCUUUGCAUCUGUGUUAAAGUAUGAUCAUACAAUGUUCAUCCCCAUUUCAUCUCAUUGCUCUGCUUUGUUUCCAGUGUUUGAUGUCCACAGAUCAAAUGACAACUGAGGCUUUAAAUCCAUUCUUUUCAUGUCUGCCAAACGCGCUCCUCUGCAUGCACUAUUCAGCAGAUCUGCUUCACUGGCAGUAAAACUACGCAGCAGAAAAAAGCUGCAAAAGCCUUUGCAAAGUCUGACUGACAGCUCCUUGCUACCAUGGCAUCACACACCAAGGACGGAGGGCUUGUUCAUCUGAAGGAAGGUGUGGAAAACAGAUAAUGCUGACUACAAGCUGACUACAAGUUUCGAGAGUUUGGUGAAGAUUAGUUUGGUUGGUAUGGAUCCUUGUAAAGAUCGUCCAGGAGAUGUUCCUGACAUGUGGCUUUGUCCUGACAGCAAGCUGUCCGUCUCAAAAG
Long non-coding RNA from Thunnus maccoyii (southern bluefin tuna), 759 nucleotides. RefSeq lists it as uncharacterized. The transcript has 3 exons. Lineage: Eukaryota; Metazoa; Chordata; Actinopteri; Scombriformes; Scombridae. The record is from RefSeq and is a predicted model, not a curated record.